UACGAAGGGUGCAAACGUUGCUCGGAAUCAUUGGGCGUACAGCGCACGUAGGCGGCUUGCCCAGUCGGACGUGAAAUCCCUCAGCUCAACUGAGGACGUGCACCCGAAACUGGCGAGCUUGAGUACUGAAGAGGAUCGCGGAAUUCCCGGUGUAGAGGUGAAAUUCGUAGAUAUUGGGAAGAACACCGGUGGCGAAGGCGGCGACCUGGUCCAUUACUGACGCUGAGGCGCGACAGCGUGGGGAGCAAACAGG
Molecule: ribosomal RNA, 253 nt
Filed under: uncultured bacterium
Lineage: Bacteria
Description: partial 16S ribosomal RNA
Rfam family: Bacterial small subunit ribosomal RNA
Source: RNAcentral